RNAcentral lists this ribosomal RNA (460 nucleotides) under uncultured bacterium. RNAcentral's name for it is "partial 16S ribosomal RNA". It matches the Rfam family "Bacterial small subunit ribosomal RNA", at positions 338 to 795 of the family's 1533-position model. The record is from RNAcentral.
CCUACGGGAGGCAGCAGUGAGGAAUAUUGGUCAAUGGCCGGAAGGCUGAACCAGCCAUGCCGCGUGAAGGUCAGUGCCCUAUGGGCGUUAAACUUCUUUUGUGCGGGAGCAAUAAUGGUCACGUGUGGCCAGACGAGAGUACCGUACGACUAAGCAUCGGCUAACUCCGUGCCAGCAGCCGCGGUAAUACGGGGGAUGCAAGCGUUAUCCGGAUUUAUUGGGGUUAAAGGGUGCGUAGGCUGUGAGGUAAGUCAGCGGUGAAAUGCCCCCGCUCAAAGGGGUGAAGUGCCAUUGCUACUGCCUUGCUGGAAUGCGGAUGCCGUGGGAGGAAUGUGUGGUGUAGCGGUGAAAUGCAUAGAUAUCACACAGAACACCGAUUGCGAAGGCAUCUCACGAAUCCGCGAUUGACGCUGAUGCACGAAAGCGUGGGUAUCAAACAGGAUUAGAUACCCGAGUAGUC